ACAGGAUUAGAUACCCUGGUAGUCCACGCCGUAAACGAUGUCGACUUGGAGGCUGUUCCCUUGAGGAGUGGCUUCCGGAGCUAACGCGUUAAGUCGACCGCCUGGGGAGUACGGCCGCAAGGUUAAAACUCAAAUGAAUUGACGGGGCCCCGCACAAGCGGUGGAGCAUGUGGUUUAAUUCGAUGCAACGCGAAGAACCUUACCUGCCCUUGACAUCCACGGAACUUUGCAGAGAUGCCUUGGUGCCUUCGGGAACUGUGAGACAGGUGCUGCAUGGCUGUCGUCAGCUCGUGUUGUGAAAUGUUGGGUUAAGUCCCGCAACGAGCGCAACCCUUAUCCUUUGUUGCCAGCGAUUCGGUCGGGAACUCAAAGGAGACUGCCGGUGAUAAACCGGAGGAAGGUGGGGAUGACGUCAAGUCAUCAUGGCCCUUACGGCCAGGGCUACACACGUGCUACAAUGGCGCAUACAAAGAGAAGCGACCUCGCGAGAGCAAGCGGACCUCAUAAAGUGCGUCGUAGUCCGGAUCGGAGUCUGCAACUCGACUCCGUGAAGUCGGAAUCGCUAGUAAUCGUGGAUCAGAACGCCACGGUGAAUACGUUCCCGGGCCUUGUACACACCGCCCGUCACACCAUGGGAGUGGGUUGCAAAAGAAGUAGGUAGCUUAACCUUCGGGAGGGCGCUUACCACUUUGUGAUUCAUGACUGGGGUGAAGUCGUAACAAG
This 723-nucleotide ribosomal RNA is filed under the name uncultured bacterium. RNAcentral's name for it is "bacterial SSU rRNA". It matches the Rfam family "Bacterial small subunit ribosomal RNA", at positions 772 to 1495 of the family's 1533-position model. The record is from RNAcentral.